This 76-nucleotide transfer RNA is filed under the name Paenibacillus mucilaginosus. Its description in RNAcentral is "tRNA-Thr". It matches the Rfam family "tRNA". Rfam says of the family: Transfer RNA (tRNA) molecules are approximately 80 nucleotides in length. Their secondary structure includes four short double-helical elements and three loops (D, anti-codon, and T loops). The record is from RNAcentral. Lineage: Bacteria; Bacillati; Bacillota; Bacilli; Caryophanales; Paenibacillaceae.
GCCGCUGUAGCUCAAUUGGUAGAGCAACUGACUUGUAAGCAGUAGGUUGGGGGUUCAAGUCCUCUCGGCGGCACCA